Regulatory RNA element from Paenibacillus curdlanolyticus YK9, 102 nucleotides. It matches the Rfam family "S10-Clostridia ribosomal protein leader". The record is from Rfam. NCBI's taxonomy places the organism in Bacteria, Bacillati, Bacillota, Bacilli, Caryophanales, Paenibacillaceae.
ACGUUGCGAUGAUGUGAGAGGUUGCCGACACACCCGGCCCCUUUGCCAUGGGGCGUGUGAGACGGGUUUUCUCACGGAGUAUGUCCGAUAAAAAUUGGGCGA